This is a non-coding RNA of Camellia sinensis, 2326 nucleotides long. The record is from RefSeq and is a predicted model, not a curated record. Lineage: Eukaryota; Viridiplantae; Streptophyta; Magnoliopsida; Ericales; Theaceae.
UUUCUCUUACAAACAUCACAUCCAACCAUAAAAAAAACCAACUUUCUUCCCAAACACAAAAAUUUUAGCUUCCUAAAAUAGCCUACUAAAAUAGCAACUUCCCAAACACCCACUUUGUUGGCAAGCUAUUCUAGGUAAAGUAGCCUCUUAGGAAAUUUUUAGCUAACAGGGGUAUUCCUAAAUGAGUUUUAAGCGCUUUGUCCAAUGUGUUUGAGAUUUGUCAAAUCUGUAUACCAUCUCUUCAUUCAUUGUCAGUUUGCUUGGGAACGCUGGUCCUGUUGUUUAAACUGGUGCGGGUGGUGUUUGUUUGGUCUGCCUUGCCUCUCUCUGUGAUAUUUUUAUGUGGUGGUUUGAUUCUCCUUUUCAGAACCUUGAGAAACAACUUUGGGUGACCCUCUUCUACAUGGUUAUCUGGUUAGCUCAAAAUGCUACUGUCUUUAACCACUCAGAACAGCAUGUUCAUGACGUGAUUCACCUAGUAAACUUGUGUUUCGCUCUUUGGGCAAAAGCUUGUUUUGUUAUUGUCAAUUACCCAAUGUCUGGGUAUUAUCAGCUACCUUGACGGGAUCAGGAAACUUAAACUGAAGCUUCUUUCAAAGUCGCCUUGACAGACAUUGAAGUGAUAAGAUGGUUAAGGGUUGCUGUUUUGCUGGCGAGGGAGGUCUUUCUUUCAUGAAGAAUAUUUUUAUUGCUAUGGGAAGCCUUAAGUUAUAACUUAUAAGGUUGUGUUGUUGCUUCUUAAGGCUGAGGGUUGUUCUUGACACUACAAGAAAAAGUACUUUGCACGGUGUUUAUAAUAUAGCGUUUUUUGAAACGUCUUUGUUGAUUAGUCAAGCACAACGUUUUGUAAAUGUUGUCUUACAUCUAGGUCAGACAACGUCAUUUAGCUAUGUAGUGAUCACGCCGGUUCAUAUUAAAACCUUCUCGCCGUUUGAGACCUUUCAAAACCAUCUCACUCCAAACUCUCUCAAACUCAGAUCCCUUUUCCAAACUCUCUUCAAACUCAAUCACUCUCUUUCUCUCUCUUCACUUCAGAUUCAUCAAAUAGUACAACCACCAUGUUCAGAAACUCUCAGUUUCCUCGAUAUUGAGUUUGAACAGAAGAUAUUGUGAAGGCUCUUGAGGUUGAAAGUCCUCAGUCACUCUCGGUUGAAUGAUCUACGUUUCUCUCUCUCUCUCUCUCUCUCAGAUCCAUGAAGGUUGUCGAUGAUUUGAAGGUUGAUUCUUGCAGAUUUGAAGGUUGACUGUCCAGAUUUGUGAUUCUCUCUUCCAAUUUUGUGAGUAUUUAAUUCGUUUAUUUAUCUCUCUUUUUUUUUUUUUUUAGAUUGUAUACAUUCGAGAACAUAGAUCUGAGAUCAGCCCCUGUCAAAGCUGUCUUUCAAUCAAUUGAUCGAUCGAUUGUUUUCGUUCAGAUCUAUUUCGAUUAAUCAUUUGAUUGAUUUUUGUGAGUCUCGCUCUCUUUUUUCUAAUAAAUAUCUGUUUCUCUCUUCGAGAUUUAGAUCUGUUCUACUUGCAUUUCGGCACUACACUUUGGCAUAAAGGUAAUAAGCUUCAUUCUCUCUCUCCUGAAACUUGCUCUCUAUGUUCCAUGCAUAUCCAGACUUAGGCUUUUUUUAGUAUUGAUGUUUUUGAUAGUGUAUGUUAAAGUUUUUGAUUUUUUUUUUUUCAAAUUUUUGGUUUGGUUGUGAAUGUGCCACUAAUUGUUAUAUUGAUCCAUGAUUCUUUAUGUAGUAACUGUUGCUGCAAUUUUUAUGAAGUGAAUUCAUUGAAGAUAUUUUUUGAUUUUUUUAAUGUUGAUCGUUGGAAACAGUGUAUAGAAGCCCAAUGAUGAAGAGAUGUAGAUCUGCCCUCUCUUCGAUCAGAUCUGCUUUCUCUCUCUGAUCUGCUAAUAUGCUUGAGAUCCUCUGUAAUUUGGCGAUGGGAGAAGAAAAAAAUGUUGUAAGAAUCUUAUCAAGUUACUCUAUUGGUUAUUAAUAUCAUAGCAAAAAAGAACAAGAGGCUAAUUUCUUUGUUGUUUAUUCUCUCUGCAGCAGUGUGACUGCUAGGUUAAUAACCAAACUUGUGGUUGGACUUGGCCUUGGGGAGGUAAUAGUGAUUGCAGUGUGAAUGAUUUCUUUCCUUUUUUUUUCUUUUUCUUUUUUAAAUUCAACUAUAGUGGCCUCAAGUUGCUUGGGCAUUAAUCUUUGUUAAGGGAUACCUUUAAUGUUUGGGAUUUCUUAUUUUAUAAGUAGAGAGAUUAUCAACUUGUUGAGACAAAGCGUUAUAUGUUAAAAGGACUAAUAAAUGCGAAUGUUUGAUUAACUGAUGUUUGGGAUUUCUUAUUGCA